RNAcentral lists this ribosomal RNA (253 nucleotides) under uncultured bacterium. RNAcentral's name for it is "partial 16S ribosomal RNA". It matches the Rfam family "Bacterial small subunit ribosomal RNA", at positions 524 to 776 of the family's 1533-position model. The record is from RNAcentral.
UACAGAGGGGGCAAGCGUUAUUCGGAAUUAUUGGGCGUAAAGGGCGCGUAGGCGGCUUUUCAAGUGACGGGUGAAAUCCCUCGGCUUAACCGAGGAACUGCCUGUCAGACUGGAAGGCUUGAGACCGGGAGAGGUGAGUGGAAUUCCCAGUGUAGCGGUGAAAUGCGUAGAUAUUGGGAGGAACACCGGUGGCGAAGGCGGCCCUCUGGACCGGUACUGACGCUGAUGCGCGAAAGCGUGGGGAGCAAACGGG